GCACCAGUGGGGAAUAUUGGGCAAUGGAGGAAACUCUGACCCAGCGACGCCGCGUGCGGGAUGAAGGCCUUCGGGUUGUAAACCGCUUUCAGUAGGGAAGAAGCGAAAGUGACGGUACCUACAAAAGAAGCACCGGCUAACUAUGUGCCAGCAGCCGCGGUAAUACAUAGGGUGCAAGCGUUGUCCGGAAUUAUUGGGCGUAAAGAGCUCGUAGGUCGUUUGUUACGUCGGAUGUGAAAACCUGAGGCUCAACCUCAGGCCUGCAUUCGAUACGGGCAAACUAGAGUUUGGUAGGGGAGACUGGAAUUCCUGGUGUAGCGGUGGAAUGCGCAGAUAUCAGGAGGAACACCAAUGGCGAAGGCAGGUCUCUGGGCCAAUACUGACACUGAGGAGCGAAAGUCUGGGGAGCGAACAGGA
This 417-nucleotide ribosomal RNA is filed under the name actinobacterium SCGC AAA041-F05. RNAcentral describes it as "bacterial SSU rRNA". It matches the Rfam family "Bacterial small subunit ribosomal RNA", at positions 348 to 777 of the family's 1533-position model. Lineage: Bacteria; Bacillati; Actinomycetota; Actinomycetes. The record is from RNAcentral.